CGUCGCUGUCCGGGACUGAGCUGUUUCGAGAAGAGUGAGGACUGACGCAGAGGGGCUUCGGCUCUACUGUGAUGGGAAUCACUUUAAUCGCAAUGGCUUGAACCGGGCAAAAGUCGUAACAAGGUACCUGUAGGUGAACCUGCAGGUGGAUCAUCGCUGAUUCCUUACGGAACUCUGGCUUUGAUUACGGUGAGUGUUAGUCGCCUUAUGGGAUCGAGCCUUUGGUCUUCGUUCCUUCUGACUCUUGCCACGUGCAGCAUAACGUGAGGUGUUCGUUUAUUCGUCUGGCGGAUUUAUGCGACCGCAGCUUGGUGUGUCUUCGGAUACGUUGAGCAACAGAUGGAUUCCACGGCUUCGCUUCGGCGUCGUAGUGGUUCGGCGAACUUCAAGUGUAGUGGCUUCGACUACCGCCUCGCAACCUUUGCUGGCUUUAUACCACCCGUCGGCGGUGGAAGCCUCAAUGACCUAAGGCCUUCCCUUAAACCGGUUGGCCUGGGCGGCAAAACCCCUUAUUCCUUUUAUUUAACUUAUGUUUUGGCUUGUUCGAGAGAACAUAUCUUACUACCCGUUGGGAUGGAUCGGUCGAUUCGCAUAUCGAUGAACAACGGAGCUAGCUCCGUUAUUUACCACGAAUUGCAGACGCUUUGAGUGGUGAAAUUUGGAACGCACAGCGCCGUCGGGUUUUUCCCGUCGGCACGUCUGGUUCAGGGUUGUUUUCUUAACUGCCUUCGCUUCGGCGUUGGCUUGUCGAGCGGCUAUGCCUUACGGCAUACCCGUUCUAGUCAAGAAUUCAUAGCAACAUGAGUCUUCGGACUCGCUGUAGGUGUGCUCGUUGAACGUGCAUUGCCGUCGGCUUCAAACCGCUUCAAAUGGUGCGAAGUUGUCGGUCGCUAAUGAUGCGUGUUCGUGUAGCUUGCACCUUGUCUUAGCAACCUGAGCUCAGUCGUGAUUACCCGCCGAACUUAAGCAUAUCAUUCAGCGGAG
This is a ribosomal RNA of 984 nucleotides. The stretch from base 1 to 156 matches the Rfam family "Eukaryotic small subunit ribosomal RNA", at positions 1674 to 1831 of the family's 1831-position model.